GCCUGGUGGCUCAGUCGGUUGAGCAACUGACUUUGGCUUAGGUCAUGAUCUCACGGUUUGUGAGUUCGAGCCCCACAUCAGGCU
This 84-nucleotide transfer RNA is filed under the name Felis catus (domestic cat). It matches the Rfam family "tRNA". From Rfam's summary of the family: Transfer RNA (tRNA) molecules are approximately 80 nucleotides in length. Lineage: Eukaryota; Metazoa; Chordata; Mammalia; Carnivora; Felidae. The record is from Rfam by way of RNAcentral.